RNAcentral lists this ribosomal RNA (276 nucleotides) under uncultured bacterium. RNAcentral describes it as "partial 16S ribosomal RNA". It matches the Rfam family "Bacterial small subunit ribosomal RNA", at positions 335 to 627 of the family's 1533-position model. The record is from RNAcentral.
UCGCCUACGGGGGGCAGCAGUGGGGAAUAUUGCACAAUGGGGGAAACCCUGAUGCAGCGACGCCGCGUGAGUGAAGAAGUAUUUCGGUAUGUAAAGCUCUAUCAGCAGGGAAGAAGAAAGACGGUACCUGACUAAGAAGCCCCGGCUAACUACGUGCCAGCAGCCGCGGUAAUACGUAGGGGGCAAGCGUUAUCCGGAUUUACUGGGUGUAAAGGGAGCGCAGGCGGGAAGCCAAGUCAGCUGUGAAAACUACGGGCUAAACUUGUAGACUGCAGU